Molecule: long non-coding RNA, 1800 nt
Filed under: Mytilus galloprovincialis (Mediterranean mussel)
Lineage: Eukaryota; Metazoa; Mollusca; Bivalvia; Mytilida; Mytilidae
Source: RNAcentral
CGAAAUCGUCAGUCAUAAUAAUUCAUAAACUUUUUUGAUUGGCUUAUUAAUAGGUCGUCAACUCAUUUGCAUAUCUUUAUAAAUUCAUGACUUUUAGUUCACUCACAUGUGACCUCAAAGCCGGUUUCGUUAGAUCUCCCACGCGACAUAUCAGAAACAGGAGCGAUGAGAGAUCGGUUUUUAAUUAGAUUGGGAGUUUUUAUGAUCAUCAUGCAAUUGUAAUCAGAGUAAUUGAACCAAAGGAUGAUACCAGUGAUCAGAUUGAUUUAGAACUAAUUCAUCAAACAAACAGUACGAUGGGUGCCUUUUGGGACAAAAUUCGUCCUCUAGGAUCACUAGCCAAAUUACAACGUAAAACUGAAACUGUCGAUUUAAAAAGAGACAUAGUGAUGAUUUGUAAAUAUUGGGGAAGCAUAAAGCCCAGUUCUCCAGAAGAAGUAGUGAAACGGGCAAUUGGGGCUUUACAAGCAGGCCCAGGGGAAUUUCGGUACGGUAUUAUUGAUAAUAAUUGCGAACAUUUUGCAUCUUGGUGCGUUACUGGAACAAGACUAAGCGUUCAAAUAAGAAAAGUAACGAUUGUUCUUAAAAUAUUUUUCAAGUUAGGGAAAGGAUUCCGUGGUCUAAGCGACGAACUGUUAAGAAACCAGGUAGAAUAUGAUCAUGGCAUGCUUUGCGAAAGGUGCUUCGAGAGAAAUAAGAAAAUGCUGAGUGUACCUAAAUUAAAAGUUCUAAAAAAAGACCAGAUACAAAAAGGGGACAUAAUUUUGUAUAGCUAUUUCAAACUUCUACACUGUUCAGUUGUCCUUGAUGUCCUCAAGCGUAAAGACAAAUAUAUUAAAUGCGAGAUUGCGCAUUACGCAUUUAAGGGACCAUUCACACAGAAAAAGAUACAAAGUGAUAUUCUGAAAGUUCCGUUUAAUGGAUCAGUUUCAAUAUUUGAUUACUCGCAAUCGACUGAAUUUAAAACCUAUGAUCCGGAGGAAGUAGUUCGUCGAGCAAGGGAACGAUUAGGGGAGCAAAUGUUUUCGUAUUUUUCUAAUGACUCAAGCCACUUCGCCCGCUGGUGUAAAUUAAAAUUGAACUGAUUGAAACUAAUUAUAUGAAAGAUAUACAAACCGGCACAUUAGCUGGACAGAACUAACCGUUUGCCGAUUGAGUAUAAGUAACUAAGAUUCAGUCGAACCAUCUGAAAGACAUGAAUUAAGUGACUAAGGAAUGGUAAAACGUAUAAUUCUAUAUAUACAUUUUCCAUUUAGAGCCCAAUUUAAAAAAAAAAUUAUAUAUAUAUAUAUAUAUGUAUCUCAAUUUAACUCAUAUCCAUUGUAUCAGUUUGUUUUUUAAGUUAAAGUAUUUUUUUUUUCAGAAAUUGUGAAGUUUCUACUCGCCAGGGGUAUGGUUGUGUCACUUGUAUUAUCUUUUACUUGUUAACUGUUACAAUAUUGUCCAUUAAGUUUGGAAGGAAAAGUCAAAAUCAAGAUAUCUAUAGAAAUGCAAAAAAAAAACAUGUAGUCUAAGAGGACAUUUUUUAAGACUUUUAAAAGGUCUAUUUCUAUUCAUUUCUAAAUUUCCAGAUGGAAUACUGGAGGUCUAAUUCGAAUAUAACGACUAACACUAAAUAAAGAGUUAUUACAAAAUAUCGACUAUUUAUUUAUACCAGUUCCUACACGAAUCACUAGACAUGUAAUACAAAAAUAUAAGACUAUUUCUAAAGAAUGCAUUCAAAGAUAUGACAUGGCUAGAUGAAUUGUACAAUUCGAGUAUCAUUUCACUUAUUUAUAGAGAUUAAAGUCAUAUGAAACC